RNAcentral lists this ribosomal RNA (697 nucleotides) under Curtobacterium pusillum. Its description in RNAcentral is "bacterial SSU rRNA". It matches the Rfam family "Bacterial small subunit ribosomal RNA", at positions 25 to 734 of the family's 1533-position model. Lineage: Bacteria; Bacillati; Actinomycetota; Actinomycetes; Micrococcales; Microbacteriaceae. The record is from RNAcentral.
CAGGAUGAACGCUGGCGGCGUGCUUAACACAUGCAAGUCGAACGAUGAUGCCCAGCUUGCUGGGUGGAUUAGUGGCGAACGGGUGAGUAACACGUGAGUAACCUGCCCCUGACUCUGGGAUAAGCGUUGGAAACGACGUCUAAUACUGGAUAUGAUCACUGGCCGCAUGGUCUGGUGGUGGAAAGAUUUUUUGGUUGGGGAUGGACUCGCGGCCUAUCAGCUUGUUGGUGAGGUAAUGGCUCACCAAGGCGACGACGGGUAGCCGGCCUGAGAGGGUGACCGGCCACACUGGGACUGAGACACGGCCCAGACUCCUACGGGAGGCAGCAGUGGGGAAUAUUGCACAAUGGGCGAAAGCCUGAUGCAGCAACGCCGCGUGAGGGAUGACGGCCUUCGGGUUGUAAACCUCUUUUAGUAGGGAAGAAGCGAGAGUGACGGUACCUGCAGAAAAAGCACCGGCUAACUACGUGCCAGCAGCCGCGGUAAUACGUAGGGUGCAAGCGUUGUCCGGAAUUAUUGGGCGUAAAGAGCUCGUAGGCGGUUUGUCGCGUCUGCUGUGAAAUCCCGAGGCUCAACCUCGGGCUUGCAGUGGGUACGGGCAGACUAGAGUGCGGUAGGGGAGAUUGGAAUUCCUGGUGUAGCGGUGGAAUGCGCAGAUAUCAGGAGGAACACCGAUGGCGAAGGCAGAUCUCUGGGC